GAUGAAGAACGCAGCGAAAUGCGAUACGUAAUGUGAAUUGCAACUUCAGUGAAUCAUCGAGUCUUUGAACGCACAUUGCGCCCCCUGGUAUUCCGGGGGGCAUGCCUGUCCGAGCGUCAUUGCUGCCCUCAAGCACGGCUUGUGUGUUGGGCCCCGUCCUCCGAUUCCGGGGGACGGGCCCGAAAGGCAGCGGCGGCACCGCGUCCGGUCCUCGAGCGUAUGGGGCUUUGUCACCCGCUCUGUAGGCCCGGCCGGCGCUUGCCGAUCAACCCAAAUUUUUAUCCAGGUUGACCUCGGAUCAGGUAGGGAUACCCGCUGAACUUAAGCAUAUCAAUAAGCGGAGGA
RNAcentral lists this unclassified non-coding RNA (345 nucleotides) under soil metagenome. RNAcentral's name for it is "partial contains 5.8S ribosomal RNA, internal transcribed spacer 2, and large subunit ribosomal RNA". The stretch from base 1 to 119 matches the Rfam family "5.8S ribosomal RNA", at positions 35 to 154 of the family's 154-position model. The record is from RNAcentral.